AUGCUCACGUCUUCAUCUCGUCGAGCUCCUUCUGAUGGUAACAUUUUCAUAAGGUGUUCACACUGUGAAAAUGACCAUGAUGCCCUUGCUUCUAAUCAGCCCCCUUCGAGAGAGAAACGUCCGGUGUUUCAUUUCCGCGGCUUCACCGCACUUCUUCCCGGAGUCUCCGUCACCCCCAGUUUGCAGGUCGUGCCUGGAUUGCUUGCUUUUUUGGUGUGGUUCCUGUGUUCACGAGCUAGGAUAAACAUUCCAGCCAGAGUCCCUGCGGAUUGGAGUCCAUCAUCUCCGUUCGUUGUUCCGCUGCCAAUAGUUGUUCCGCUUCCAGUAGUUGUUCGGCUGCCUCGAGUUGUUAUGCUACUUGCAUAG
RNAcentral lists this ribosomal RNA (366 nucleotides) under Triticum aestivum (bread wheat). RNAcentral's name for it is "partial small subunit ribosomal RNA". The record is from RNAcentral. Lineage: Eukaryota; Viridiplantae; Streptophyta; Magnoliopsida; Poales; Poaceae.